Carya illinoinensis is the source of this 1723-nucleotide RNA transcript. It is a transcript of the gene named organelle RRM domain-containing protein 2, mitochondrial-like, with no coding region annotated. The transcript is spliced from 3 exons. The record is from RefSeq and is a predicted model, not a curated record. Lineage: Eukaryota; Viridiplantae; Streptophyta; Magnoliopsida; Fagales; Juglandaceae.
AGGAUGAAACUCUCUCUUCCUCGAAAAUCUUCAUAAAAGAUAAUAACCAUUUUUCUGAACCCUUUGGAGCAAACUGAUGCAGGACUGCCGCACUCAAUGUCUGAGGGACGUCUGCACAAGGUCUUUUCACACUAUGGAGAAGUAAGCCAAGGUGAAUUCUUAGCUUGUAUAUUCUUUAGUUAGGAAGUUUGUGGAGGCAACUUCUAAUGCCCUUUCUCGUGGUUUCACAACCUUAAUUAUAACCCAAAUCUUUUGUCUGGGCCAAAAAUGCACCAAUUUCCAUGCCCUUCUAGCCCACGAAUUCUUGUUUCCUCGAGCUUUAGAGGAUUCACUUGACUUUUUGUUUCUGGCCUUUGUUAGGCCUAUAUUUGUACUUGGAGCUGGGACUUCAUACGGCUUUUUAAGACGGUUGAUAUCUGUAUCCAGGCUGGUCUUUUCCUUUUCCCUAUUCUUAUUUCCCUCUUGUCGAAUAUAGUGUUAGCAAUGUUACUCUUCGUUCUUGAUUUUACUUAUCAUCAUCGGUCACACUUUGUGAUGUGGCACAUUUAAAUUGGCUUUAUACAUUUAUGACUUGAAUAAACCACUACUUAAGAUUUGCCACAUCACCAGGUGCGACUGGUAGUGACAAAACUUGAGAUGAAGGAUAACAUUUCUCAUCAUAUAUAUCUAAUUAUAACAAAGAAGUUGCUGAAAGGAGUGGCUUCGUAAUAUGUUUAUUUUAGACUAUUUAGUUAGCUGAUACGAAAACUUUACAGUGGUUUCUGGAUUAUGUCCUAAGUUCAAGUAUAUCAAGGCAUGCUGGUAGUGCUCUUGGGGCACAAGUAGAUGACAAUGCGUCUGGAUAAUGGGUUCAGGUGGUGAUUGUUGACUAAUUGCUCAUUUUUAGUCCCACACCGGUGGAAUGUAAACAAAGAAGCAUUAUGCCAAGUUAUAAAUAAGAGGCUUAGCCUAUUAGUUUAAGUGCACCAGUUGAAAACUUAUCUAGUAACUUUUGACUUUAGUUAAAUUCCUCUGUUAGCCUUUUUGUAAAAAGGGGAAGGGGGUAUAAAGUUAAAGUUUUACUAGUGAGGUAGCUUUGUGUGUGUGUUUGAGGGUGAGGAGAAAAAUUGUGUGAUUGUAAUAAUUUUUCACAUAGUGAAAUUUCUUCUCUGAGUCUAGUGGUUUUUCUCCUGUUUUAGAGUCUCCACAUAAAUUUCUUAUGUUGUUUUUCUCUAUUUUUCUUAUUAUUCCUGCAAAGGGUAGAUCCUAGGGGGGUGAAUUUUGGAGGUUCAAAUUCCCAACAGUGAUAAAUGCAAAGUGCCUAUAUUCAUGCAAUGGAGGCUUGCUAGGUUGUGUGAUGGGUCAUUGCAAAGUCAGGCUGGAGAGUUGAAGAGUUCAUUAUCAUGUUUUGAAGUUAUUACAUAGGGCAUUGGGAGAUUUCUGUAGUUGAUCCUUAAGCAUACCUUAUCUCAUUCUUGAUGAAUUUUAUCCAUUCCUUUUUUUUCUUUUGUGCAUGCUUCUUUCAUGAUUCUUGAAUUUUAAAAGAAAAAACAUUUCAAUGAUUACAUAUAAACCUCUGUUUAACAUUUUCUUUCAGUCAAACUAGUUGUGGAUAGAAAUUCUGGACAGUCUUUAGGAUUUGCGUAUAUCUGGUUUACUAGUGAGGACACUGCCAAAUUGGCAGUGAAAGAGAUGAAUGGAAAGUUUUUUGAUGGCAGGUUUGUCUACGUAACAAUUGCGAAGC